This is a long non-coding RNA of Lagopus muta (rock ptarmigan), 1668 nucleotides long. RefSeq lists it as uncharacterized. The record is from RefSeq and is a predicted model, not a curated record. NCBI's taxonomy places the organism in Eukaryota, Metazoa, Chordata, Aves, Galliformes, Phasianidae. The transcript is spliced from 7 exons.
UUUGCAGGCUGAAGAGAUGCAUCAAGUGCUGGGGGUGGCAGAGGGGAGUUUAGGGCUUCCCUUUCCCCUACAGCUCAGUCUACUUCUGUGCUUCACUGUGCCUGCAGUAGCAGAGCUGCUGGCUUCAUUUGCUGUGGUGCGGUUGUGGUUGCCCUGGGCUCUUCUUGCACAGGGGCUAGAGAUGGUUCCCUUGCCCUUCCCACUGUAAAUAGAGAGCAGAGGCACUCCAAAAGCUGGCAAAGCUCUGCCCGCUGAUCCCUCAGUGGAGCUAUCCUUGCACAGCAGGGGACAUGUCCCCUGAUGGGUGACAGAGAUAUUUGAAAUGGAUGGGGCUGUGUUGGAGGUACCUGCCGGCAGGGCUACCUGGGAGACGCUCCUAUCUGUCAUCUGAUUUAUCCAGGUUAAAAGGCUGCAAUCAGUCACCAAGCUCCUGGCCUCAUCUGAGCUGUGUUGGGCUGCACGAUGGAUGAUAUGUUCCAGGCUUUCCAUGUCUGGGGGCAAAUUGGGGCGAGAUGGCGCCGGGGGACCUGCGUGGUGGAGCCUGGUGCUGGGACAGCUUGCGAGGAGAGGGUGCACAGAGGCUGGAGCAAUGGAGGAUGCACGUGCAGGGCUGACAGGCAGUGACAAUCAAUAGGUCUCUAUUGCCUGCAGUUUUGUUCUUGUACGUGUACUCAGGUGCAGAAUGGAUCAGAUCAACCAGGUAGCUUACUACUAGCAUCAACUUCAACCUCCAAGUGUUGUGUACCUCAGUAUCUCGAGCCAUGGAGGGCAUUGCACUGGUGCUCCCUGUAAGUGGAUCGCUGCUGGGAGGCACCAGAAGAAAAAAGGUGCUCUCAAUGAUCUCUGCUGCUUGUCUGGAGCCUCUAUUCUGGUCACUGUGACCUGCUGGCAAUAUGUCACCUUAGGUGGCGAAUUGCAGAGAUGUUCCCUGUGAUGUGAGAGCUGGAAGCUGGGUCUCUCACUGGAAGCAUCCCUCUCACUUAAGCAGCCUGUGUGUUGACACCAGCAACAAAUCUGGCCUUCGGAUGCCUUGACUGCUGUUACCUUAUUUACGGCCUGGUGGAGGAUACGAGGGGAGGCAGUGCCUCCAGGCAGCCUUCUUCUGUCUUCUCCGGGCCCCUGUGCAGUGCUUGCAGGAAGAGGCUGGGCAGUGAUGCUGAGCCCACAAUGAUGCUCUCGCCUUUGCCAAGGACCAGGUGACCUCAUCACCACUGCUGUCCCAAGGACAGGCUGCCAGAAGAUGCUGCAGUCACUGGAGGAUGCAUCUUUGGGGGAGCAGGAGCCCUCCACGUCCUUGCUCAAGGAUUCCAGAUUGGCACCCUGUGAUGGAGGCCAGGAGACCCUGGUGCUUAAAGAUGUGUGGUUUUUCUCCUGUUUCCUGUGUAAUUAGCAGCUGCCCAUUGCUGGGAAGGACGGGGCUCAUCCUCUCCUGCCCUGGAGAGCAGUACCUCCUUACCCUCACAGCAGCUCUGCUAUUUGUCUAGGGGCACGGAGAGUCAGUUUGACUCAGCAACCAACAAAUAAUUCAUUGGUAUGCCCUGAUUGUCAUUCUUCUGCCACUAUAGCAAAUAAAACAGCUAGCAAACGAGCAUCAGAACUGGCAGAGAACGAGAAGCAUGUGACUGGGCAGAGACAGGAGAGGGGAUGCAAAUGAUGGGUAUUGCCUUG